GACGAACGCUGGCGGCGUGCUUAACACAUGCAAGUCGAACGGUAAGGCCCUUCGGGGUACACGAGUGGCGAACGGGUGAGUAACACGUGGGUGAUCUGCCCUGCACUUCGGGAUAAGCCUGGGAAACUGGGUCUAAUACCGGAUAGGACCACUGCCUGCAUGGGUGGUGGUGGAAAGCUUUUGCGGUGUGGGAUGGGCCCGGGGCCUAUCAGCUUGUUGGUGGGGUGAGGGACUACCAAGGCGCCGACGUGUAGCCGGCCUGGGAGGGUGACCGGCCACCAUGGGACUGAGAUACGGCCGCAACUCCUACGGGAGGCAGCAGUGGGGAAUAUUGCACAAUGGGCGCAAGCCUGAUGCAGCGACGCCGCGUGAGGGAUGACGGCCUUCGGGUGGUAAACCUCUUUCAGCACCGACGAAGCGCAAGUGACGGUAGGUGCAGAAGAAGGACCGGCCAACUACGUGCCAGCCGCCGCGGUAA
RNAcentral lists this ribosomal RNA (478 nucleotides) under uncultured bacterium. RNAcentral's name for it is "partial 16S ribosomal RNA". It matches the Rfam family "Bacterial small subunit ribosomal RNA", at positions 28 to 523 of the family's 1533-position model. The record is from RNAcentral.